Molecule: ribosomal RNA, 253 nt
Filed under: uncultured bacterium
Lineage: Bacteria
Description: partial 16S ribosomal RNA
Rfam family: Bacterial small subunit ribosomal RNA
Source: RNAcentral
UACGAAGGGGGCUAGCGUUGCUCGGAAUGACUGGGCGUAAAGGGCGCGUAGGCGGAUGGCACAGUCAGAUGUGAAAUUCCCGGGCUUAACCUGGGGGCUGCAUUUGAUACGUGUGAUCUAGAGUGAGGAAGAGGGUCGUGGAAUUCCCAGUGCAGAGGUGAAAUUCGUAGAUAUUGGGAAGAACACCGGUGGCGAAGGCGGCGACCUGGUCCUUGACUGACGCUGAGGCGCGAAAGCGUGGGGAGCAAACAGG